CAGACUCGUUGAUAUCAUAUGACCUGCGAGGAUCUAAGACCACUGAGGAAGGCCGUGAAAGGCCGAAACGUCUGGUCGUUUUCUUCCAUGCUUAUAAUUGUGAAAUAGUGCACCGGAACUCUAAUUAUGUGACGAAAAAAUGUGAAAUUAAAAUUUAUUAGCAAACAUGAAAAA
Molecule: long non-coding RNA, 174 nt
Organism: Bufo gargarizans (Asiatic toad)
Lineage: Eukaryota; Metazoa; Chordata; Amphibia; Anura; Bufonidae
Exons: 2
Source: RefSeq, a predicted model, not a curated record